This 1728-nucleotide ribosomal RNA is filed under the name Triticum aestivum (bread wheat). RNAcentral describes it as "partial small subunit ribosomal RNA". The record is from RNAcentral. Lineage: Eukaryota; Viridiplantae; Streptophyta; Magnoliopsida; Poales; Poaceae.
AUGUCUAGUGAUAAAAAAUUAGAAGACCAUUCAGUCACUGCAAGAGAUCGCGACUUGGUCACUGCUGAUGCGCCUUCUGUCACUUUAGUCGGGAGUGAGCGAUGCGUUGUAAAUUCUGCUCCUGAUGGGCCUACUGAAAACAUAUCCAUGCUUGACGAGAUGAGGAAUAUCCCUUUGUCUGCUAGUUCAUUUUCGAAAAAAAAAUUAAGGGAUGCAUACGCUCAGAACAGCUACGCACGGAGCAGGGCUCCAGCUUUGCGGAUGUCGAGAAGUUCAUUGAGUGUUGUAAACAGAAAAGUUCAGGGUUCUUGUAAGCUUUUGGGUGAAACCAGUUUGGCUUCUGUUGAUUUGGUUUCUGAUGACAAUAAGGAAGAUUUGACUGUUCUUAAAUACCCAGAGCAUGACAAAGCGAACUCAGGCGCCCUUUCUAUGCUGGAUGAGGUUUGUGUGCAUUCAAGUGUAGGCAUCUUCAAUCAACCUGGAACUCCUGGGGCUAGUGACUGCAAUAAAAAUUUGUCUUCUACUGCUAAGGUAGAUAAUACCUGUGACAGCGAAGCAUCUCAAAAUGGAGCUUCAGCGCUAAAAUUAAAAUCAAAUGGUGCAUCAAGUUUUCCCAUGCAGUCAACAGUAAUUUUCAAGAGAAAAAGGAAGCCAAAUAGAAAUUGGGUUCCUCAUGCUACAGAUUGUAUGACACCCAAUAAAGGCGAGGAAUUCGAGGUUGAGUUGAGUGGAAGACUCACAGAUUCUCCAAAUUCGAAGAAUGAAUUUAAUAAGUCAGACGGAGAUGAACACUUGCCGUUGGUCAAAAGAGCAAGGGUUCGAAUGGGAAGGCCUCAGUCAGUGGCUUCACCAAAGACAGUUGGCCAGAUUGAUGUUGCUAAUAAUAGAUCAGGGCUUGCUGCACCUGCUGACCACUCUGUUAUGCAUAUUAGCAAUGCUUCUUCAGCUGAUCAGUCAUCCAUAUUAAACGUGCCUGUCCUGCUAGGGGAUGGUCACUCUGUCUGGAAGAAUAAAGAAUACCAACCAAGUGGUUUAACAUUGGAUGUGGAAGCUGCUUUGCCACCAUCAAAACGCCUCCAUCGUGCUUUAGAAGCUAUGUAUGCUAAUGUUGUGGAAACUAUUAGUAGUCUUCCUGAAGAGAGAGGAUCAAAGCAGUUGAUUCUAAAUGGUUGUGUGUCUGCAGAAAACAGCCAUUCUAGUAAAUCGGCAGACACAGUAGUCACAAGCCCUAACAGAUCUGGAAUAAUUGAAAGCCUUGGAUCAUCAGGCAUGCAAUUAAUGCAUAGCUCAACAGGCCAAACACACACCUCAGGAUCAAUUUUACAGAAUAAAAAUGUAGUUGUUUCCAUGAAACUGAAUGAGCCUGCCCUUGAUGUGACACAGACCAUAGCUGUACAUGACCGGUUAUCAUCUUCUCGGAAACCUAGCUGUAAUGAUGUCUCCAAGCUAAUCAGCUACAUUAGUGAUACAAAACCAAUCGGCUGCCCUGCUUCUGAUGUUAAUAGGAGUGAUGACAGAUGCGGCGAGCCAGUUGACCAACCAAAGUCUCUUCUCUCUGAUAAUAAUGUGGACAGUGAUUCAGUAUCAUGUGGUGAUACUGUUUUAGCAUCAGCAAUCAAUAUUUGUGAUACCACAAGCACCUCUUCAUUUGCUACCAAGUCUUCUAGUAUACAGUCUGAUGCAGAUACCCGAACAUUUGAAGUAAUGAUGUUACCAUGUAAUGCAUAG